UACGAAGGGUGCUAGCGUUGUUCGGAAUCACUGGGCGUAAAGCGCGCGUAGGCGGCGCAGCAAGUCAGGGGUGAAAUCCCAGAGCUUAACUCUGGAAUUGCCUUUGAAACUGCUGCGCUAGAGUGUCGGAGGGGAUGGCGGAAUUGCUAAUGUAGAGGUGAAAUUCGUAGAUAUUAGCAGGAACACCGGUGGCGAAGGCGGCCAUCUGGACGACAACUGACGCUGAGGCGCGAAAGCGUGGGGAUCAAACAGG
RNAcentral lists this ribosomal RNA (253 nucleotides) under uncultured bacterium. RNAcentral's name for it is "partial 16S ribosomal RNA". It matches the Rfam family "Bacterial small subunit ribosomal RNA", at positions 524 to 776 of the family's 1533-position model. The record is from RNAcentral.